This 708-nucleotide non-coding RNA is filed under the name Drosophila ananassae. RNAcentral's name for it is "Eukaryotic large subunit ribosomal RNA". It matches the Rfam family "Eukaryotic large subunit ribosomal RNA", at positions 2154 to 2799 of the family's 3401-position model. The record is from Rfam by way of RNAcentral. Lineage: Eukaryota; Metazoa; Arthropoda; Insecta; Diptera; Drosophilidae.
CGGAACAUGGUUCCAAAGGGGCGCUGAUUGACGCAUUGUUUCAUAUCCCACGCCCGAGGGGGCCGUGAGAUUAAGCCAACAUGGCAGGUGCUCACGUUAAAAAUAUCAGACUUUCAUGUCCCUAUCUACUAUCUAGCGAAACCACAGCCAAGGGAACGGGCUUGGAAUAAUUAGCGGGGAAAGAAGACCCUUUUGAGCUUGACUCUAAUCUGGCAGUGUAAGGAGACAUAAGAGGUGUAGAAUAAGUGGGAGAUAUUAGACUUCGGUUUGGUAUCGCCAAUGAAAUACCACUACUCUUAUUGUUUCCUUACUUACUUGAUUAAAUGGAACGUGUAUCAUUUCCUAGCCAUUAUACGGAUAUAUUUAUUAUAUCUUAUGGUAUUGGGUUUUGAUGCAAGCUUCUUGAUCAAAGUAUCACGAGUUUGUUAUAUAAUCGCAAACAAAUUCUUUAAUGAGAGAUGCAUUUACUGUAUUAUUGAUUUGAAAAUUUGGUAUAACUCCAAUUACUCAGGUAUGAUCCAAUUCAAGGACAUUGCCAGGUAGGGAGUUUGACUGGGGCGGUUAGCGGUUCAUAGGACAAAGAUAAAAGCAAAAGAAAACAAGAAAAGAAAGCUAACUUCGGGCGGAGCCGAAGUUUAUAUAACCUUGCAGUUGAGGAGCAGUCCGCUAGGUGGCAACACACAUCUUAUAUUAUUAGAUAUAUAGUGC